This 2523-nucleotide ribosomal RNA is filed under the name Lactobacillus delbrueckii subsp. bulgaricus. Its description in RNAcentral is "partial 23S ribosomal RNA". It matches the Rfam family "Bacterial large subunit ribosomal RNA", at positions 392 to 2925 of the family's 2925-position model. The record is from RNAcentral. Lineage: Bacteria; Bacillati; Bacillota; Bacilli; Lactobacillales; Lactobacillaceae.
GAGGCCUAUCAGUAUCCUGAGUAGGGCGGGACACGUGAAAUCCCGUUUGAAUCCGCGAGGACCAUCUCGCAAGGCUAAAUACUAACCAGUGACCGAUAGUGAACCAGUACCGUGAGGGAAAGGUGAAAAGAACCCCGGGAGGGGAGUGAAAGAGAACCUGAAACCGUGUGCCUACAAGUAGUCAGAGCCCGUUAACGGGUAAUGGCGUGCCUUUUGUAGAAUGAACCGGCGAGUUGCGUUAGUCAGCAAGGUUAAGUCAGAAAAGACGGAGCCGUAGCGAAAGCGAGUCUGAAGAGGGCGAGCAGUUGGCUGACGCAGACCCGAAACCAAGUGACCUACCCAUGACCAGGUUGAAGGCGCGGUAAAACGCGCUGGAGGACCGAACCCACGUAAGUUGAAAAUUGCGGGGAUGAGUUGUGGGUAGCGGUGAAAUUCCAAACGAACUUGGAGAUAGCUGGUUCUCUCCGAAAUAGCUUUAGGGCUAGCCUCGCAAAGAGGAUGCUGGAGGUAGAGCUCUGUUUGGACUAGGGGCCCGUCAAGGGUUACUGAAUUCAGAUAAACUGCGAAUUCCAGACAUUUAUGUGCGGGAGUCAGACUGCGAGUGAUAAGAUCCGUAGUCGAAAGGGAAACAGCCCAGAUCACCAGUUAAGGUCCCAAAAUUCAUGCUAAGUGGAAAAGGAUGUGGAGUUGCGCAGACAACUAGGACGUUGGCUCAGAAGCAGCCAUCAUUCAAAGAGUGCGUAAUAGCUCACUAGUCGAGUGACGCCGCGCCGAAAAUUUACCGGGGCUAAGCAUGAUACCGAAACUGUGGAUGUGCGUUUAUGCACGUGGUAGGAGAGCGUUCUAGCGGCGGUGAAGCAUGACCGAGAGGACAUGUGGAGCUUCUAGAAGUGAGAAUGCCGGUAUGAGUAACGAAAGACAGGUGAGAAUCCUGUCCGCCGCAAGACUAAGGUUUCCUGGGGCAGGCUCGUCCGCCCAGGGUAAGUCGGGACCUAAGGCGAGGCCGAGAGGCGUAGUCGAUGGACAACAGGUUGAAAUUCCUGUACUGCACCGAAUCGUUAUGAGCGAUGGAGGGACGCAGGAGGCUAGCAGCGCGUGGUGCUGGAUACCACGUUCAAGCGUCAAGUCUGAGAGCGAGUCAAAUGCUUGCUCUCAUAAGGACAAGGCGUGAUGAGGAGCGAAAUUAAAGUAGCGAAGGCUGCGACGUCACACUGCCGAGAAAAGCUUCUAGCCAGAGACGGUGCACCCGUACCGCAAACCGACACAGGUAGUCGAGGAGAGUAUCCUCAGGUGAGCGAGAGAACUCUCGUUAAGGAACUCGGCAAAAUGGCCCCGUAACUUCGGGAGAAGGGGCGCUGGUCGCAAGAUCAGCCGCAGUGAAAAGGCCCAAGCAACUGUUUAUCAAAAACACAGGCAUCUGCAAAAUCGUAAGAUGAAGUAUAGGUGCUGACACCUGCCCGGUGCUGGAAGGUUAAGAGGAGAGCUUAGCGCAAGCGAAGGUUUGAAUUGAAGCCCCAGUAAACGGCGGCCGUAACUAUAACGGUCCUAAGGUAGCGAAAUUCCUUGUCGGGUAAGUUCCGACCUGCACGAAAGGUGUAAUGAUUUGGGCACUGUCUCAACGAGAGACUCGGUGAAAUUAUAAUACCCGUGAAGAUGCGGGUUACCCGCGACAGGACGGAAAGACCCCAUGGAGCUUUACUGCAGUUUAAUAUUGGGUAUCUGUCAAGCAUGUACAGGAUAGGUAGGAGCCGGAGAAGAUAGGACGCCAGUCUUAUCUGAGGCGCUGUUGGGAUACUACCCUUGCUUGACGGAUGCUCUAACUCAGGCCUGUGAUCCAGGCCGAGGACAGUGUUUGACGGGCAGUUUGACUGGGGCGGUCGCCUCCUAAAGUGUAACGGAGGCGCCCAAAGGUUCCCUCAGAAUGGUUGGAAAUCAUUCGCAGAGUGUAAAGGUAAAAGGGAGCUUGACUGCGAGAGAGACAACUCGAGCAGGUACGAAAGUAGGGCUUAGUGAUCUGGUGGUACCGCAUGGAAGGGCCAUCACUCAACGGAUAAAAGCUACCCUGGGGAUAACAGGCUUAUCUCCCCCAAGAGUUCACAUCGACGGGGAGGUUUGGCACCUCGAUGUCGGCUCGUCGCAUCCUGGGGCUGAAGUCGGUCCCAAGGGUUGGGCUGUUCGCCCAUUAAAGCGGCACGCGAGCUGGGUUCAGAACGUCGUGAGACAGUUCGGUCCCUAUCCGUCGUGGGCGUAGGAAAUUUGAGAGGAGCUGUCCUUAGUACGAGAGGACCGGGAUGGACGCACCGCUGGUGUACCAGUUGUCUUGCCAAAGGCAUCGCUGGGUAGCUAUGUGCGGACGGGAUAAGCGCUGAAAGCAUCUAAGUGCGAAGCCCCCCUCAAGAUGAGAUUUCCCAUUUCUUCAAGAAAGUAAGACACCUCAGAGACGAUGAGGUAGAUAGGCCGGGAGUGGAAGAGCCGUGAGGCUUGGAGCGGACCGGUACUAAUCAGUCGAGGACUUGACCAAAA